This 693-nucleotide ribosomal RNA is filed under the name bacterium enrichment culture clone SC-1_51. Its description in RNAcentral is "bacterial SSU rRNA". It matches the Rfam family "Bacterial small subunit ribosomal RNA", at positions 1 to 748 of the family's 1533-position model. The record is from RNAcentral.
UAGAGUUUGAUCCUGGCUCAGAACGAACGCUGGCGGCAGGCUUAACACAUGCAAGUCGAGCGCCCCGUAAGGGGAGCGGCAGACGGGUGAGUAACGCGUGGGAACGUACCCUUUUCUACGGAAUAACGCAUGGAAACGUGUGCUAAUACCGUAUGUGCCCUUUGGGGGAAAGAUUUAUCGGAAAAGGAUCGGCCCGCGUUGGAUUAGCUAGUUGGUGGGGUAAAGGCCUACCAAGGCGACGAUCCAUAGCUGGUCUGAGAGGAUGAUCAGCCACAUUGGGACUGAGACACGGCCCAAACUCCUACGGGAGGCAGCAGUGGGGAAUAUUGGACAAUGGGCGCAAGCCUGAUCCAGCCAUGCCGCGUGAGUGAUGAAGGCCCUAGGGUUGUAAAGCUCUUUCACCGGUGAAGAUAAUGACGGUAACCGGAGAAGAAGCCCCGGCUAACUUCGUGCCAGCAGCCGCGGUAAUACGAAGGGGGCUAGCGUUGUUCGGAAUUACUGGGCGUAAAGCGCACGUAGGCGGAUCGAUCAGUCAGGGGUGAAAUCCCAGAGCUCAACUCUGGAACUGCCUUUGAUACUGUCGAUCUGGAGUAUGGAAGAGGUGAGUGGAAUUCCGAGUGUAGAGGUGAAAUUCGUAGAUAUUCGGAGGAACACCAGUGGCGAAGGCGGCUCACUGGUCCAUUACUGACGCUG